GGAGCCCGCCGGGGCACCGCCAGCGUCGGCCGCGCCGGCCAUGGAUCCCUUGCCCAAAGACGGCGAGAGCGCGGCGGCCGGGGAGCCCAGCCGGGGCGCCGGCUCCUCCAGCGGGGUGGUGGUGCAGGUCCGGGAGAAGAAGGGCCCCCUGCGCGCCGCCAUCCCCUACAUGCCGUUCCCCGUGGCUGUCAUCUGCCUCUUCCUCAACACCUUCGUGCCAGGGCUGGGAACACUUGUAUCAGCUUUCACGGUGCUGUGUGGAGCCCGGACCGACCUCCCUGACAGGCACAUGUGUUGCGUCUUCUGGCUGAACAUUGCCGCUGCACUGAUUCAGAUCCUGACGGCAAUCGUGAUGGUUGGCUGGAUUAUGAGUAUAUUUUGGGGGAUGGACAUGGUCAUUCUUGCAAGGUCUUCACGUAGUCAUCUCUGCUGAUGACAUCUCUGUGGGAGGAGGAUCUCAGGAAACUGCCAGGCACCAGCAAAACAAUUAAAUGGAUGAAACUGAAAAGAACAGCAGGAAAACAGAGCAGAUUUUCAGAUGCCAAACCCAUCGGUUAAACCCGUCCACCAAACCACCUGCUACUUUCUGAGCCAGCUUCAAUUUACAGGCUGAGUUCAGGGUGAUCCACAUACACAGUAAGAUGAUGUGAACAUGAGUGAAACAAAAGGCUUUCCUCAAGACAAAGGCAGCACUACACUUUGUUUUCCCCUGCAAACCAGCAGAAGUUUCAUCUCAGAGGUACCUGCAUGUUGGGUAGCCUGAUGAGGAUAACAUGCUACAAGGAGCAGGGGAUCCCACAGCAGCUGUAGUGGCUGGGACAAAUAUGUUCAGAGAAACACGGCAAGAGAUUUCCUUUGGCAGCCGUGGGCCACGGACCUUUUCACUACCCUUUGUCUUUCUUCUUCCUUUUGUUUUGUGUUCGGCCCUGUCCACCUGCCCAUCCAGCGGAGCGGAGGUGCAGAACAGCAGAAGGAGACUUGCACUGAGUGAGGAGCAGAGAUGGGGCAAACGCAGCGUGCAUUGGGACCAGCCCCAGCCAGAGUGCGGUGGGUGGUCGAGGAGGAGGAAAAGGAGUGUGCCGAGAGGAGGAAACCCCCCGGUGAAGGUGGCUCCUGGGCAGGCAGCAGAGCUGGGAGAGAGGGGAAUGGGAGAUAUUGCUCCCUCUGUCCUCCCAGCAGGAAGUGGUCAAAGACAUUUUGCCUCCUGUUAUAUGUUUUUGCCUCCUGUUACAUUAAAGAAAACCAGCUGUGAACAUCAAAUGCCAAGGAGCUAUCAAUAGACAAACGUACAGCCUGUAAAAGCAACAAGCGUUACUUUUUUCCCUUCUGAGAGCCCGUUCUUGACUGCUUGGUGGCAGCAGAGGGCUCAGCCCAGCUUCCUCAGCUGUGUACCUUUGAAGCUCUAUCAUUGCAGAUGUCUUGAGAAAUGUGCUUGCUGUGAAUUGUAUUUUACUCUUAAACUGAGUUGGGCUGUCCUCUACUUCGAUCCGCUGGCUCCACGCAAGCACCAGACCUCCCACUGGCCCCGGGAAGCUCCUACCAGCGGGAGACGGGGAUCCCCUGUGUGCCGCCGGCGUGGCAGUGGGACAAGCCCUGCGCUGCCAAAAACCUCCGGUGUAAAGACUUCUCCUCCCCUUCCCCUGGAAGGAACCCGCUGUCAGUCUCUCCUUGGUUUGGACAUGGAUCCCUGCGCAGCGUGUCCCGCAGGACCAGUCGAUGGAGCAUCUCUGCUCUGCUCCCCAGGGGUAAGUGCCUGACACUUGAGGAUUGUGCCCUGGUGCUGCUCAGGCACUAGGUGGUGGUUGUGGCCAAGGCACAGAGCUGCAUGCUCACGGUGGGACUGCAGAGCUGCAGCUGCCGUCUGGGUCCUUUGUUCCUGGCUGCCUUUUUGGCAGGGCGAGAGGGGCUGUGCUGGGGCAGGUAGGACCUGCUGGGAGCCCCUUGGGAAAAGAAGGGGGGAGGUGGGAGGCAGGAGAGAGAGUGCGUGUGUGUGUGUCUGUCCGUCCGUCCUUAGCAAAAAGAAAUCCCAUUGCCUUCACCAGGAUGUACCCAAGCAGACACCUGAGUUGCUCCUCAGCUGUCGUUUCGGCAGGGAGGCAGCAUGCAGCAUGCAUCCCCUGCUGUGCAAGGGCCCGGCCUCUCACAGCACGACCGAUGGCUUUGGAAAGCACAUUUCGAAGCACACUGGUGUGCUUGCAGCGCAGACCCUGUCACUUAGGAUAACUUUUUUUCUGGAAAGGGAGCCUCGAAGUGAACCAGCAGAGAGUGCACUGAGCAUACGUGCCUCCUCCUCUGACCGCCUGCACAGCAGAGAACAGAAACCCCAAAAUGCUGGGUGCAGUGAAAGGUACACCAGGUGUACACCAGGACAGCCCUUCUAGAGUAAGGAUGCCCAUCUGUAACACGUGCAGCUCACUCAGUAUUUACUGAGACAGACUUCAGCCAAGCCAGUAUAACUUGCACCCUUUGUGUGUGUACAGAAGCCAGCUGGGGCAUGAGUGCAGCAUGCCUGAGUCCACACGCUCAAAUAAACGCAUGCACAACUGCCUUGGCA
Anser cygnoides (Swan goose) is the source of this 2554-nucleotide long non-coding RNA. Lineage: Eukaryota; Metazoa; Chordata; Aves; Anseriformes; Anatidae. The record is from Ensembl.